This 498-nucleotide ribosomal RNA is filed under the name uncultured bacterium. Its description in RNAcentral is "partial 16S ribosomal RNA". It matches the Rfam family "Bacterial small subunit ribosomal RNA", at positions 28 to 523 of the family's 1533-position model. The record is from RNAcentral.
GAUGAACGCUAGCGGCAGGCCUAAUACAUGCAAGUCGAGGGAGAAUGUUGGAUUCGUCUGACAUGAAACCGGCGCACGGGUGCGUAACACGUAUGCAGCCUACCUUUAACUGGGGUAUAGCUCAGAGAAAUCUGAAUUAAUCCCCCAUAAGACUACGACAUGGCAUCAUGAUGUAGUUAAAGCUCCGGCGGUUAAGGAUGGGCAUGCGGUACAUUAGCUAGUUGGUGGGGUAAUGGCUCACCAAGGCUACGAUGUAUAGGGGGUCUGAGAGGAUGAUCCCCCACACUGGUACUGAGACACGGACCAGACUCCUACGGGAGGCAGCAGUAGGGAAUAUUGGUCAAUGGACGCAAGUCUGAACCAGCCAUGCCGCGUGAAGGAUGAAGGCCCUAUGGGUCGUAAACUUCUUUUAUUAGGGAAGAAAAAACGGGAUGCGUCCUGUACUGACGGUACUUAAUGAAUAAGGAUCGGCUAACUUCGUGCCAGCAGCCGCCGUAA